GAUGAACGCUGGCGGCGUGCCUAAUACAUGCAAGUCGAGCGAACAGACGAGGAGCUUGCUCCUCUGACGUUAGCGGCGGACGGGUGAGUAACACGUGGAUAACCUACCUAUAAGACUGGGAUAACUUCGGGAAACCGGAGCUAAUACCGGAUAAUAUAUUGAACCGCAUGGUUCAAUAGUGAAAGACGGUUUUGCUGUCACUUAUAGAUGGAUCCGCGCCGCAUUAGCUAGUUGGUAAGGUAACGGCUUACCAAGGCGACGAUGCGUAGCCGACCUGAGAGGGUGAUCGGCCACACUGGAACUGAGACACGGUCCAGACUCCUACGGGAGGCAGCAGUAGGGAAUCUUCCGCAAUGGGCGAAAGCCUGACGGAGCAACGCCUCAUGAGUGAUGAAGGUCUUCGGAUCGUAAAACUCUGUUAUUAGGGAAGAACAAAUGUGUAAGUAACUAUGCACGUCUUGACGGUACCUAAUCAGAAAGCCACGGCUAACUACGUG
This 497-nucleotide ribosomal RNA is filed under the name uncultured bacterium. RNAcentral describes it as "partial 16S ribosomal RNA". It matches the Rfam family "Bacterial small subunit ribosomal RNA", at positions 28 to 507 of the family's 1533-position model. The record is from RNAcentral.